GGGAGACAUUCCGAGAUACAGACAGAGAAAGAGAACAACGGCAUAAGGAGAAAUGAACGUGGGCUUCAGCACGAGUAGAGAUUAAAGACGGAGAGAGGGAGGGGUCCUACGCUGAGGAGGAGUAGGAGUAAGAGAAGGAGGGAGAGAAACGGACGAGUGCAGGCAUAAGGCUAAGCCACACCUUCCCGCCCGUCUCUGGCCAGGGAUGCGUGGAGGCUGACGGUCACCUGGGCAACGGCGGGGGGAGGCGGAGGGAUGGGGCCGGCAGCAGCAGGUAUCUGGCAGUCUCUCUCUCUCUCUCGGUGAAGAGGGAAGCGGGGGGCCAGGGACGUGCCGCCAAUGAGCCAGAGCGCUAACCGCCGCCACUCGCCGGAGCUCGCCGGGACCACCGCGGGCGUCGCCAGGGACCCGAGGUCAGGCAGGGACUCGACCUGACCCCGGAGCCCGCCCCGGCCUCUCCCUCUGUCCGCCCCCCCCCCCCCCCCCCCCACCUGAGUUUCCUCCACCUCCUGCUCUCUGGAGCAGACUCUAGUUAUUCUCACGCUCCAGCUCUGCUUCGCGUGUACCGCUCACCACAGCCCCCCCUCCCCUUCCCCCACCACCCAAUUUUCCGAGCGUCUUCCCAGGUGACGGCAGCAGGAGCGGCGGCUGUGGAGAGCGCGAGGGAGGCUCCUGGGCAUUUCUGAGGCGCGCGGGGGAGACGUUGGAGUGCGUGACAGGCGGGGGACGAGUCCGGACCUCCUGGCGAUGUGACGCGGAGAGGAGCCGUUAACAUCGCCCGCCACCGGCACAGAGGGAGGGACCAUGCCCCGCUCGAAUCCGCGGCGACGCCAGGACCGUGCGAACGGCGCUCCCGACGCGAGACUCCUGAUUAAAAAUUCAUCCUGCCAGGCAUGUUCCAAAGACCGACACCAGCCACCGGCUCCCAGCGCGGUGAAAACAAACUGAACGCAGCCGGGUCCCCGGGGGGCCACAGGAAACCAGGACUGUUCCUGCAGUCGCGACCAAAAACGUGCAAGGGCUGAGAGCGUUUCCAUGGGAGACGCCAUGCACUGAAACGUCCUGUUGCUGCGAAAAAAAAAAAAAACUGCACAUUUUCAUUUUGAGAUAAAAACAGUACAAGUCGAACCCUUACGGAUACACAGACCCCAGGAUACCCUGCCAGGUGUCUUCUUACUACAGACGGAAGGAGGAGGGAAUCGAGCAGAAGAGGCACUUAAAUACCCAGGGGGAGAAGGGACAGUGGUGUGCAGGGGUUGGGGAGGGGGGGUGGGGGGGGGAUUGUUCUGAGGCGGCAUACAUGGAGUGGGAUCUGGAAUAGAGAAGAGAGAAAGAGAAUCUCUGCUCCUCUCCUGGUGCAAUGUGUGCAGGUGGCGCUCCAUGUGAGGGUGAAGCUCACUGACGUCAGCAUGCUCCGUUCAAGGCAAUAUGUCCGCUCGAGGCAGUAUGAGGACGAGGAUUCCGAUGAGCAGGAGGAGAGGAUCCUGGCCUUGCUGGGCAUCAUCGGGACUGUCCUUAACCUGCUGGUGGUCAUCGUCGUCUACAUCUACACCACCAUCUGAGGACCGUCAGAGACGGGCUCGGUCAUGGUCGCUGCCCCUCCUCAACCUGCCCAAAUUCAAGCAGUGUCCGUCGACGCAUCCACCCCCUGCCCGGAGGAAGAAGGGACGGAUAAUGACCACGAACCGUCGAUGACGCGGGACCACUCUUCCUGUUGAACGCCCCUCUUUUUGUACAUAUAUUUUCACAGUUACUUCUAAUGUAUUCUUCCACAGUUUUUGUGUUUUGCUUUGCAUCGUUCAACUAGUCUUCCGCAGCAUCUCCUAUCGCUUGCAGUUCACAAUCUAAUGAAUUGCAUUUAUUGGUUUAUUUUACGGGGAUAAUGCACAUUAAUGACAUAUCUGUAAAUGUAUCAGAGCCAUUGAGGCGGAUUGUUCAUUCACAGCCCCUGGGCUACAUGUCUUUGGGAGGAAACUGGAUUACCCGGAGGAAACCCACGCAAACACGGGGAGAACCUGCAAACUCUACGCAGAGGGGAUCCAGGCCAGCCGGGACUCAAUCCCAAAACCAGAACAGUGCACCACUGUGCCGCCCUUCUCACAGUAAUUUCUCCACCAGCGGGGGCGUUCUGUUGAUAAGCACAACCAGGUUAUGUCUUAAGAGGAAGUGAUGGAAACUUGCUUCCAGGUCAAAAAUGCACCCGCUGUGGGAUCUUGCCAUUUGAAAGUGCAAUGGAAUGCUAAUGCUGGUGAACCUCUGACCAAUGGGGUGGAAAAAAAGGACUUCCUAACCCACCCCACAAACUUCAAGGACAGAGGCGGCAGCCUCGACACACACUGCAUUCUCAAUAUAUUGUUUUCUACCAAAAGGCUCAAAUCGGAGAAAACAUGAUACAAGAGGAGUUAUUUGGGAAAUUGUUUAUUUCUUACCUCUUUUACAGUAUUAGCUAUUUCUUCUGGUCAUUGAUUUAUGUGUGCUAGAGGUUCAUGCUUCAUAACUUGAAUUGAAAAUCAAACAGUAUUAACAAAAUAUGUCAUCCAGUAAGCCAGUGGUGUGGGCCAUGUAAAUAACUGUGAAACAGAUCAUGGGCCAGAAGUGUAGCACUAUGAUGGAAUGUGACCAGGUGGAUGAGGGGGCGGUGUUCCCAGCUGUGGCUACAGUGGUUUCUCGCAUCCUGUGAGAAUCAAUAGACCUUUCUCGUGUACGCACUGCCAACCCACAAGUUUACAAAUAGUAGCGUAGCAACACAAGUUCUGCCAGCUCUUAACGAUAACUGACAACAAUCAAUGUCUGUUCUAAUCGAUAUAUCGAUACAAACAGCAAAAAACGUAUUAACUCACGUUUAACAUGCUUGUUAGCUUGCUAGCCUGUUCUGAUCAUUACAAAGAUUAAAAUAUAAAUGAUUCCUCUAUUUUUACAAACAUACCUUAUACAAACACAUAUUAACCAAAUGAAAAAGUCACUCCUGUGCUGUUUGUUGCAGAGGAGGAAGUGACAAAUGUCACAAUUAACAAAAAUGAAAAACGUGUUUACAAAAGUGUGGAAGCUCAAAACACAGAUGUUUUAAUUUGCUAGAUGAGCAUAAUGAUACAUUACAAAAAUCGGCCCUUAACGUAAGCUUCCGGAGCGUGUUGAAAUGUUGAACAAUGUACAAACUGGAAUGAGGGUGAAGACAUUGAGGAGGUUACGUUAAGAUUACAAGUUAAAAUUAGCUAAAUAUUCUUUUAGAAAGUAUGACUGUGUCAGGCUUAUUUUUUAAAUGUGUAUCAAGCUACCACUGGUGUAUUAUCAACUGGCUUUUUGUUGCUAAUGCUAGCCAACUGAGCAUAAUUUAGCAUGUGUCGUGAGCUAAGAGUUGGAGCAGCAGCCAUUACAAGGGACAAAUGACCAUGUCCGUGUGACAGGUCACAUUAGCCAAUCAAAGAAAAAAAUAUGGGCCUUGGGAAAAGUGCAAUUUUGGAAAAGGGAGUUUCUGGUUUUUAUACAGUCCUGUGGUUUAGCCUGGUGAUUUUUUCUUAUCCACAACAAAAAAAUGUGAAGUAGAACAAAAUUCAUAUUUUAUCAGCACAUGAGUACCAUGCCACACUACAUAAUCAGUGCCAAAACUAGGUAGACAACUAUUUCUCGAAUAUGAGACCUUUAGCAGCUGGCUGAGGUGUUGCUAUGCUAGUUUUUGUAAACUUUGAAAUAAGGUUUUUAUGUCCACAGUUCGAGGAUUGGGUUGUAUGCUCCUGUUUUAUUUCUUUUCUCAUUUAUAUGAGCUGAUAGACUAUUUGGAACUUGCAAUCAUUCCAGAAGUUAAGGUGUACCAAGCUUCCACUGAAAUCACGUGACUUCCAAGCAAACUGCCGCACUGUACCAGUAGUUUUUCCAAGAUUUUUCUAGCUUGAUGUGUUCUCAGCUCGCCUUGUUGACUAAUCAGGUAGAGCUCCCAGUGCUUCCAGUGCUUCCGAAGCGUACUUGAGCGUGAAUGCGGAGACAUGCUCUGCGUGUCAAAGAGGGCUCGUCUGCCUUAUUCCUGUGCAAACACACGGCAAAGACACGGCUCUCUGUUUCCAAAAUUCCAAAAGUUUUGGAAAAUGCAACCUAUUCCUAGGGGAGAAAGGAAACAAAACACAUUAUACAUGAAAGUAUAUGGCGCCUGUGUGUUGUUUCUGAGAGAUCAUGGGCUGGUUGGCAAUUCUGAGGUAACUAAACGAGCAUUGUCAUAUCAGCCAGUCACGAUCAAACUGGACCUCUGUGAUACAAUUUGAACACAUUUCUGAAAAUGUGAAUAUUUCCCAUUUGUGGCAAGGUUAGCAAAAAAAAGGCACACAUUUGGAACAAUAUGAAAUUCUCAACUCCAAAGAAAAUGAACUGUUCUUCGCUGCGUAUUCAGCCCAAACGAUGGCCCUCCCUGUUGGGACUGGGUCUCCAGGCUCAGUGAGCUGACACGCUGAAGCUCUGCCUGUAAAGGCACAGAAUGUUCUGUCUCUCCUUUAAUGGCCCGGGUCUGCUUUGCCAGCAGCACUGCUCCAAACUGUUGCUAGGCUGCGUUUCUGUGGCGCUGAGUGCGCGUGACCAGACGACCCGCUACGUCGCCGACGACGCGUCUGCAUGUGUGCUGAACAAGAGCUGCAGGAAACCAUGGGAACCGGAUCAGUAGCAGUGCCAGAGGUCCAAUCGCUGGUGUCCAGGCAGGAGACUGCAAUCGCAGAGGGGGAGGUGCAGAGAGACUGGGGUGGGGGAUUUUUGGAGGUACGAAUCAAAGAUGGGUGUGCCUAGGACACAGGACACAGUGUGUGGCCGCCAGCUAACGGGAUCCGGCCUUAGGGUUCCGUGUGUUGUGUGCCAGCCGGGGACUGGCCUGCCCGCAGCCUCAGAACCAUCUGCUGCCCUUCAGACAGCGUCGUCUCCCGCUUCCCCACACAAAGAACCUGACUUAGCAAUAUCGCAGGGUAAAAUGGCUUAUCUUCAUUGUAUGCAAGAGUAUCUGGAUUCGAGUGCGUGUCAUGCACCGUCCAUACCAAGUCUAUGAGCGAUGUGUGGCCACUCAAAAGGACGGUCAUGCUUCCAGAGUAGAGAUGGCAGCUUUUGAGCCCUAGUACACAGUUUAGUGACGUUUUCCCAGUCCUGCGAUACAAUUUAACAUCAAACGAACGAGGAAACAAAAGUGAAUAAUUCUUUGGACCUGCGAUGAGGCGAGACGCUCGUCCCAGCCGCCCGACCAGACGGAUGCUGGCUUGCAGUGAAACGUGUCGUCCGUGAGGUUACACAACGCCGCCAUUUUUAACCCUGCCUCUCGCCUCACAGACCAGACUGUCAGGAGUGCGUUCCCCACUGAGUGUGAGGAGGACGGUGUGUCUGGCUUACACUGUACGCCAGAGCGCCAUGCUUACACAACAUGUAUUCAAUGGAGGAAUCACUAGCUAGCUGUUUUUAAUCAAACAAACCACUUCCUGUUUGUUUGGUUUUUUUUUUUGUUUUCAGACUAUAGGGCAGCAGUGAUUACGUUUUGCUGUAAAACACUAAACGUUUCUGUCUGGCUAUGGGCGAUCGACAGGUUUGCUUUACAAGAAGUAUGUUGCCGUCUUCUUUCGUUUGUGGAAGUCAACUUUUAUUUUGCAGGACUUGAGGCCAGAAUCUGCUGUUUAUGCAUUUUGUAUCGUCUGUUUGCAUCCAGGACGUACAAAUUCACUGCAUUCUUUCCAAGAAGAUUUCAGCCAGAAAUCAAUCAUGUCAUCUUCUUUCUUGAUGAUAGCUCUGAUUGAGCAUAAAAAUAAUCUGAAAAAAAAAUAAUAAUAAUAAUGUAAAGGAAUAUUUUUUUAAAACUCCAUUGCAUGUGCAUUUACCUGUACGUGUCCACAUCAGAAUUCACUGCUUUGAAUUUCUGCCACAAAACAUGUUUUCUUCCCCAAGAGUUAGAGAAUUAUGUAGAGUGAGCUAGUCAUAGCCCACUUUUGGCUGACAGUUAAAUUUCAGUUUCACUAUCAAUAUCACUCUCAAUCCUAGAUUAUAACUAUACAUACAUAACAUGUAGCAGGUCCAAGAUUCAGCUUGUGUUCUCAAUGAAUUUUGCCUUGUUUAUUAAUUCAUAAAAGCUAAUGUGUUGCCCAGCAAAAUAAGGAAUGUUUGCCUUUCAAAACUUUGUGUGUGUUGCCAAAUAUCAGUUGUUCUUUCAAAGAUUAUUCUGUUGCCAGGAAGCAACUGCAAAUCUCUCCAGUUUACUGUGUCCUGAAAAUGACAAUGUACUACUGCCAUGAAAUCAAAUGUAUUUUUAAUGUAACAUUUAUAUUAUGAAAUUAUGUGAUAAUAAAAUAAGAAAAUAUGCUA
Anguilla anguilla (European eel) is the source of this 6312-nucleotide long non-coding RNA. RefSeq lists it as uncharacterized. Lineage: Eukaryota; Metazoa; Chordata; Actinopteri; Anguilliformes; Anguillidae. The record is from RefSeq and is a predicted model, not a curated record. The transcript is spliced from 2 exons.